Molecule: ribosomal RNA, 458 nt
Filed under: Caridina sp. Gulf2
Lineage: Eukaryota; Metazoa; Arthropoda; Malacostraca; Decapoda; Atyidae
Description: partial 16S ribosomal RNA
Rfam family: Bacterial large subunit ribosomal RNA
Source: RNAcentral
UUAAAGGGCCGCGGUAUUUGGACCGUGCUAAGGUAGCAUAAUAAAUAGUCUCUUAAUUAGAGUCUAGCAUGAACGGUUGGACGUGGGGUAGGCUGUUUUAAUUAUAAAAUUUGAAUUUUACUUUUAAGUGAAAGGGCUUAAAUUGUAUGGUGGGACGAUAAGACCCUAUAAAGCUUUAUAUUUUAUCUAUUGGUUUCAGCAGUUAAGGUUUGCUAUUCUUAUAGAGUAAAAUAUUUCGUUGGGGCGACGAGAAUAUAAAAUAGUAACUGUUUGUUUAAUAUAAAGAUUUUUAGGUGUAUUGAUCCUGGAUUAAGAUUAGAAGAAUUAAGUUACUUUAGGGAUAACAGCGUAAUUUCUCUUGAGAGUUCUUAUCGACAGAUGUAGUUGCGACCUCGAUGUUGAAUUAAAGUACCCCCAAGAUGCAGCAGUUUUGGUGGUGGGUCUGUUCGACCUUUAAA